UGGUAAAGUGCUAUUAAAAAUUAGGCAACACUAAGACUGCAUGUGUAACGAGGUACAGUUCAUAUGAAUUUCUCGUAAUGCCGUUUGGCUUAACCAAUGGUCCAACAACUUUUUGUAAUCUUAUGAGCAAUGUAUUCUAUGAAUAUUUAGAUAGAUUUGUGGUAGUCUAUCUAGAUGAUAUUGUGGUGUAUAGUGAAACAAUAGAUGGUCAUGUGGAACAUCUAAGAUUGGUAUUUCAAAAACUUAGGGAAUAUCAAUUAUAUGUCAAAAUGGAGAAGUGCGAGUUUUGUAGGGCAGAAGUAAUGUUCCUUGGGCACUGGAUUAUUCAAGGACGAGUCAGAAUGGAUGAGAGAAAAGUCCAAGUCAUUGUUGAAUGGACUGCUCCUGCGAAAGUUGUUGGGUGCACAAUUUGACACUAUUUUUUUUCGCGUCUAUGUCCUCCUUGUGAUGCACUGGUUCGCCCAACCAGUCAGUAACCUGAAAAUCAUACAAGCACAGUCUGUAUAAACAAGCCACACACACAAGCCAACAGUGUUUACACGACAAUGUCCCAACCUUUUAUUGCUCACUCAAUAACAAGGAUUAUAAUAUAUGACUAGGAGCUCGCAGGCUACACUUUUUCAGUCUUAUUUAGUAUCGGUCCAAUUCUGGAUUGAACUAGACUACCAAUUUUUAAUGGUCAAAUAAAUUUUUUUUCAGGAUCGGUCUAGUCCAAUCCAGAAUAGAAGUAGACGGUUAUGGUCAUAUUGGAAAACAUACGAAAUAUAUUCAGAUUUUAUUUGGUUUUCUCCAAUAUCUCAUUUCUGAAAUUCUGGACUUCAUAACUAAUUUGAGAGAAACCUUAGUGGGUUAAUGCUGUAUAAUACAAAGCUUCCUUGAUAUUGAUAUGAAAGUUUACAGAAAACAAUAAACUUAUUAAACAUUUGACAUGAAAACUUCCCUGAAUUGGACCUCUUUGUUUAUUUUUUUUAAAUUUAUUAAGCUUGAAUAUAUAAAACAUUCUCCAGUGUAGCUUUCCUCUUUGUUUUAGGCAUGACUUAUUGAGAAGCUUUGCAUGACCUAACCAAAAGAAAAUAAGUGUUGUGGUUGCCAUUAGUAUGACUUAAAUGUUUAUCUUUAUUUGAGCCCAAUAGCAUUGCUGGUUGAAGCAAUCAUGGCAUUCUCAUUUGCUCAUGAGGUAUUUACUCUGUUAGGAACCUUUUUUGUUAUUUUCUUAGUAAAACAAAAAUGAUGCACAUGAAUAAUAAUAAAUAAAUAAAAACAAAGAAUUGUGACCGUUCCCAUUAAAUAUUAAUUAGUAGCUUGACAAAUGCGAUGCGUGACAAAAAAUAAUUUAUAUUAAUACUUUAAAUAUUAUUAUAUAUUCAUCCACCCUACAAAAAAAAGUCUUAUUUUAUAAAAAUUAAAUAUAUAAGAUAAAUAAAAUGUAUGAAAAAGAGAUCCGUAGGAUUAUGUUUGUUUGCAAGAAAUAUAAUCCGGGAUUAUAAUCUCAUAGAUUAUAAUCUCAAGACUAUUAAUCCUAAGAUUAAAUUGUUAUAGUCACAUGUUUGUUUUUUAAAAAUUCAUACAAAUGUAAUAAAGCAAUAAUUUUUCUCGGAUUUGGAUAUUUUUUUCAUGAUUUUUUGUGUUACUGCUCUUUAUGAUUUAUGCUUAUACCCAUUUUUAUUCCAAAAUGAUGAACCGCAAUAUUAACAUUCAUUUUUUCCAAAACAAAAAUUAAAAAAAGGGGCAAAAUUUUUUCCAAAAUGAUGAACACAGAUAUUAACAUUCAAUUUUUACAAAACAGAAAUUAAAAAAAGGGCAAAAAAAUGGGACUAAGAAGAAUUUGAUCAACAAGAAAGAGAGAAAUGAAUGAAAAUUUGAUAAAAACCUUAAAUCUCUCAUAGAGCUCCUCCUCCUAAUCCUCUUCUGAAGAGCUGAGACACAGAUCUGAUUCUUUCCAUGCUUGCAUCCGAUGCUUUCAGACUUGGACAUAGGUCAUGUUCUUGCACUAUAUCUAUUGUGUUGUGAUUGUGAAGUUUGAGAUAAGAUUGAAGUUUAAGGAAGAAAAUGGUGCUUGAUUGAUGAUGGUGAUGGAACAAUUGAUUAUGGUAAUGGUGUUGGAAAUGUUGAUGAUGAUAAUGGUGUUUGAAGUGUUGAUGAUGGUGAUGGAGGGGUUUAGGGAAGAAAUAAUGUGAUUUUUUUAUUUGUUUUUACAUUAUCUCUUUAAAUUAGUUACUCCCUCCGUCCCAUAGUUAUAGGCUGAUUUUUCAUUUUGGGAUGUCCCAAUAUAUAAGCUACUUACUAUUUUAAAAUUUAGGUGGUUCAUUCUUUU
This 2314-nucleotide long non-coding RNA is filed under the name Panax ginseng (ginseng). Its description in RNAcentral is "long non-coding RNA (PGIN_LNC014990)". Lineage: Eukaryota; Viridiplantae; Streptophyta; Magnoliopsida; Apiales; Araliaceae. The record is from RNAcentral.